Molecule: non-coding RNA, 24 nt
Filed under: Mus musculus (house mouse)
Lineage: Eukaryota; Metazoa; Chordata; Mammalia; Rodentia; Muridae
Source: RNAcentral
UCCUCAGUCAAACCCCGGGCCAUC